Molecule: long non-coding RNA, 1323 nt
Organism: Musa acuminata AAA Group (dessert banana)
Lineage: Eukaryota; Viridiplantae; Streptophyta; Magnoliopsida; Zingiberales; Musaceae
Exons: 3
Source: RefSeq, a predicted model, not a curated record
UAGAAUUUGUGGCCGCGAGUGAGAGCUCCACUCCAUGCUCCGGUGGGUUCCAAGUGUUUUGGGUAAAGGUUGCCCUUCGGGCGACAAAAAAUUUUGGUGAAUUGAGCAUACCUAUGAGUUUCGUGCAAUUUAUGCAGUCGCUGCCUCAAGCUUGUUGCCUCCCUUUGCCAGAACUCUGAAGAAAUUAUUGUCAGCUCGGAUUUCAUAUCUGAUGGAUUAUUGAUUCAGUUUAUUAACAGUGCAUCUGUUAAUUGUGACAAGGUCUUGUAUUUUGGAGAGACAAAUGUUGUGGAAGUAUUAUCUUUUUAACUCAUCAUACUUUUGUAUAUUCUCAUAAACGAUAAACGAUCUGAAAACCGAACAUUUUUCUUUGUUUAUAUCACUAUAGGUGUUUCUUUUUUGAGGUAUGAAAGAUUCACACAAGCAUGUAUUAGAUGCAAAAUAUGCUAUUGAUCUAUGUUGCUGUUCUAAUAGUGAUAACCACAAAUCUAGGAUUGACAUGUACAUUUCAGAUUGAAACAAGAAAUGCGUGUAUUAGAUUGCAAGAACAUGAAAAUAUUACCAACUAUCAUCUGUGAAUGAAAGAAUGAACAACAUGGAUUACAUAUUUUGCAUGGAUGUGCCAAGUUGUAGACAUAAAUGUUAGUGGCAUCCAUUUGGGCUUAAUCUUUCAUAUGUUUAUCAUCAUGACACUCUAUUAGUUGUCUUGGAAUCAAGAUGUUCAUGUCCAUAGUUCUUUCAAAUGUGAUUAACAUAUAUAAGAUUAAAUAUCAAUUUAACAUAAAAAUUUAAACUUAAAGAAAACAAAUAGCUCAGCCCAAUCCUUCCUAUGAUCUGCUCUUCUUUGAUCACUGAUCUCACGUCUAUAGUAAUGAUCAUACUAGGCAAAAUGACCUCUAAUCCAAAAGCAUAUAUAUUUGGAACGAAGUACAACUCGAUCACAUGAACCUUGUACCAGUUCCCAGGUGUUAAACCUUGGGAAUGAAGGUAACAUCAUCUCCAUAGUGAUGAUGUUCCCAGGUGUUAAAGCUUGGGGUUGAAGGUAACAUCACCUCCAUAGUGAUGAUGUUCCCAGGUGUUAAAGCUUGGGGGAUGAAGGUAACAUCAUCUCCAUAGUGAUGAUGUUCCCAGGUGUUAAAGCUUGGGGAUGAAGGUAACAUCAUCUCCAUAGUGAUGAUGUAGCUUCAACCUCAUGACAGGCGAAAGAAGAUAGAUUACAGUUGAAGAGCACUCCCCAUCAUCAUUCAAACUAUUCUAGCUUAUAGUCUCAUCACCACCAUGAACACAGUAGCAAGCAGAACUAACGUCGAGAAGAGAGAGAGA